AGCAGCCGCGGUAAUUCCAGCUCCAAUAGCGUAUAUUAAAGUUGUUGCAGUUAAAAAGCUCGUAGUUGAAUUUCGGGAUCAACACGUCGGUCGUGCCUUCGGUAUGUACUGGUGUCGUUGAUUUCUCCCUUCUGAUAAACCAUGAUGUCAUUAAUUUGGUGUUGUGGGGAGUCAGGACUGUUACUUUGAAAAAUUGAGUGUUUAAAGCAGGCCUACGCUUGAAUACAUUAGCAUGGAAUAAUGAAAUAGGACGUUCGAACCUAUUUUGUUGGUUUCUAGGAUCAACGUAAUGAUUAAUAGGGAUAGUUGGGGCAUUAGUAUUCAAUUGUCAGAGGUGAAAUUCUUGGAUUUAUGAAGACUAACUACUG
RNAcentral lists this ribosomal RNA (368 nucleotides) under uncultured Glomus. RNAcentral describes it as "SSU rRNA". It matches the Rfam family "Eukaryotic small subunit ribosomal RNA", at positions 569 to 945 of the family's 1831-position model. The record is from RNAcentral. Lineage: Eukaryota; Fungi; Glomeromycota; Glomeromycetes; Glomerales; Glomeraceae.